ACCCUACGGGAGGCAGCAGUGGGGAAUAUUGCACAAUGGGGGGAACCCUGAUGCAGCGACGCCGCGUGAAGGAAGAAGUAUCUCGGUAUGUAAACUUCUAUCAGCAGGGAAGAAAGAGGACGGUACCUGACUAAGAAGCCCCGGCUAACUACGUGCCAGCAGCCGCGGUAAUACGUAGGGGGCGAGCGUUAUCCGGAUUUACUGGGUGUAAAGGGAGCGUAGACGGCCAUGCAAGCUCGGUGUGAAAGGUGCGGGCACAACCCGCAGACUGCACUGAGAACUGUAUGGCUGGAGUGCCGGAGGGG
RNAcentral lists this ribosomal RNA (305 nucleotides) under uncultured bacterium. RNAcentral describes it as "bacterial SSU rRNA". It matches the Rfam family "Bacterial small subunit ribosomal RNA", at positions 335 to 657 of the family's 1533-position model. The record is from RNAcentral.